GCAGGUAUUGUAUAGAGAGGAGCAGGAUUAGUGGUUGCCUGCUAGCUGUGCCGCUCCAUAGUAUAGUAUAAUAUAAAUAAAGGUUUAUACAUUUUGGUGUAUUAUAAACCUUCUAUUGUAUAUAGUGUAUAGUUACAGUCAUAGAUCCUGUUGUGGAUAUGGGUUUGGCCAUGGAUGGAAUGGAAACCAGAUUUUUAUACAGAUGAGUUAUAUGCCUGAGAUGAUGUAUUGAUAUAUAUUGUCCAGGUUCAUUAUGUGAUAGAUUAUGUGAUUGCUACUCUGACAGGUAGUGUUGUUGUAUGUAUUGAGAUAAUCCUGACAGGUCACUAUAGAAAAAGUGAUCGUUUUGUGCAUGUAUUAUGCCAAAAUUUUUAAGAUUUAUUGAUGAUUGAUAGGUAGUAGGGUUCUACGCGGUGGCUGGUGGCCUUAUGCCUACCCGCACUCUAGGACCGUCGCGGCGGCCCGCCGG
Molecule: long non-coding RNA, 469 nt
Filed under: Phoenix dactylifera (date palm)
Lineage: Eukaryota; Viridiplantae; Streptophyta; Magnoliopsida; Arecales; Arecaceae
Description: long non-coding RNA (PDAC_LNC006538)
Source: RNAcentral